AUGGGAACGCGAAGAACCUUACCUACUCUUGACAUCCAGAGAACUUAGCAGAGAUGCUUUGGUGCCUUCGGGAACUCUGAGACAGGUGCUGCAUGGCUGUCGUCAGCUCGUGUUGUGAAAUGUUGGGUUAAGUCCCGCAACGAGCGCAACCCUUAUCCUUUGUUGCCAGCGGUCCGGCCGGGAACUCAAAGGAGACUGCCAGUGAUAAACUGGAGGAAGGUGGGGAUGACGUCAAGUCAUCAUGGCCCUUACGAGUAGGGCUACACACGUGCUACAAUGGCGCAUACAAAGAGAAGCGACCUCGCGAGAGCAAGCGGACCUCAUAAAGUGCGUCGUAGUCCGGAUUGGAGUCUGCAACUCGACUCCAUGAAGUCGG
RNAcentral lists this ribosomal RNA (376 nucleotides) under uncultured bacterium. RNAcentral describes it as "bacterial SSU rRNA". It matches the Rfam family "Bacterial small subunit ribosomal RNA", at positions 954 to 1329 of the family's 1533-position model. The record is from RNAcentral.